AUUGCUGAAAUGCGGGUUGUAGUUCAGGAACAUGUAGCCGCGGCCCUGGUCGAUGGUGUGAAACAACGGAUUCCAGUCGAACAUUUUCAGGAUGUAGCUGGGCAUCAUGUUGGCCACGAACAUCUUGCCCGAGGCUAUCAUGUUGGCGCGCAUG
This 154-nucleotide non-coding RNA is filed under the name Rhodobacter ferrooxidans. RNAcentral's name for it is "Rhodobacter sp. SW2 Ruegeria cis2 sRNA". It matches the Rfam family "Ruegeria cis2 sRNA". Rfam says of the family: Cis-encoded. Targets ABC transporter. Functions in transport. The record is from Rfam by way of RNAcentral. Lineage: Bacteria; Pseudomonadati; Pseudomonadota; Alphaproteobacteria; Rhodobacterales.